Hylaeus anthracinus is the source of this 4476-nucleotide long non-coding RNA. RefSeq lists it as uncharacterized. The record is from RefSeq and is a predicted model, not a curated record. The transcript has 3 exons. NCBI's taxonomy places the organism in Eukaryota, Metazoa, Arthropoda, Insecta, Hymenoptera, Colletidae.
UAUAAUACAACAGGAUCAAACGGAGGGAACUAAUGGAGCUCGUAAUGCGAUAGCUCGUAAAUACACGCGACAACGUCGGUGUUUUCUCGGUUUAAAAAGGGUGACUGCAUUUGGCGGGCCGAUUGCCAAAAUAACUCGUUCGAAAAUAUCCCGCGAUCAUUGCGAAAACUUCGCUUGUCGCAGCUGUGACGUCACGCGAUCAAAGACAGAAGGUUAUCCAAUUAUCAAAAAACGGCAGACCCGCUGGCUCGUUUCUCGUCACGCUGACGUAAUUCAGAAGUCACGAUUUUCUGCGAAACGAAUGAAAACGGUUCGAGGUAGAAGAGGAUAAAGGUGGAUGUAGGAUAAAGGUGGAUGUAGGAUAAAGGUGGAUGUAGGAUAAAGGUGGGUUUUAUGAAAUUUCCUGAAGGAUUCGGAAGCUAGGAUGAUUCAAGGUUUUCAGGCCACGGAUGAGACAGACUUCGUAGUGUAAUGCCUGACGCAUCAUCUCCGUCCUUGUGAAAGUGUGACAUCGCAUUACAUUUUCGACUGAUAGCAAAUGUUUUGAUAACGUCACUUUGGGUGAGUCACAUAGACUAGUGACGAACGCAUAGAACCUUAGAAAUGAUAAGAAUGCAAUCUCGUCUCCUGAUCUAUUGUUUCUUUUUUUUUUUUUUGUAUUCUCGUUCGUAGCUGAUACAAUGAGCUCGAGUUGUGCCAAAGGAAUAUUGUGAUUGUCCGUGGUUAAGUAAGUAAUGUGUAUGGACAGGCGAAUAAGUUUAUGGAGCGAUGCCAAUUGCGAAAAUUACAAUUGGUUUCCCCCAAACACCUGCUCUUUCCGCAUAAUUUUCAUUUAAUUCGUUAACUCGAGACGUUUGUUGAUUAUUAACGAUUACAAGCUCAGCCGGCGACGCGCGUCAGUCCUCGAUCGCUGCCAGAAAAUGAAUCGUUCCAACGACUAGACGACUUUUUAUCCGACUACGUCAAACCUUACCAGACUUGGCGACGGGGAAAGAAUUUUAGAAGCAUCUCGUGCACUCUGUGUUAGCAUAGUAGGCGCGGAUACACACUGUAGCCACAGUUUCACAUUUCAAACGGUGAAAACGUAGUAAACUUUUACUAAUAUAUCAAAAAUUAUAUUAAAAAAGAAAUAAAAUUGAAACAUAUCGAGCAUCAAGUCACCCCGAAUAAUAACUGCGAACAGUGACUACGCGUAAGUAUAAUAUAAAUUAGAAAAAGGGAACGGACGGUAAACGGACUGGUUUCUCUACAAUCGAAUCUUUAUUAUCGAAGGUACACGCAUACCAUAGAAACCGGUCGCGGUCAUUUUCUCCUCGAAGCCGGUGCAUAUAAGCGUCGAUCAGUGUCUAAAAUUUGUGCAACCACCGAUAGGAACGGGAUUUCGAGGCAAAAGGGCUUCGCGUGACAUACUCGUCGCCCUAGAAAUCGAGCGAAGCUAACCAAUCUUGAUGUUUCCUUUACGUAACGUAGGCAGCAAAUCGCCCGUUAAUGCCUGUAUUACAGUGUAUUGUUUAUUAGAGGGACGGCGCGGUAGUACGCGCCAUCUGAUAGACACGCUAACGUGAACCACCGGUGGUAAUCACUCAUAGUACUGGAGAAAAAUACCAUAUUAUUUGAUGUUCCACAUUAAUUCUGAAACUUGAUAAAUAAUGGACUGUAUUUCGAGGAGCUUCUUAAUUCUUUUGUCUGAACCGCGAGCUUCAAAGAGCUAAACGGUAUGCAACGAUGGUUAAUUACCAUAAAAGGUGUGCGAAUACCAGAGAGCUCAGCUUCCCAAGCAACUCGGAUUGUCAACUGUAUAGAUACGUUGGAUAUUGAGACUUCUUCUAGAGCAUCGAUCCUAAUAAUCAAUAAGAAGAGUUUGUCCAAUUGGGGCAGUUAUUUAUACUACCGCCAGCAUGAACUGCUUCGUUAAUAGUGGAGAACCUCGACCCAUUAUUUUCAACGUCCUAUUUUUAUCCGAGUUGUCGACGCUUCCUUUGAGCCUAACCUUUCAUCUUUCGUUGAUUUACCUUAUAUGCACUAUGCACAACGCAGCCAACCCUUGUAUAACGCGGAUGUUUUGGCGCGGGUAAAAACCGCGAGGACUUCAAACAGAAAUGCGAUUCAUUUUUGUUGUCGAACUAAAUAUUGGGUUGUCCGGAAAGUCCAUGUCGAUUUUUGGUAGGUGGUACAGGUCUGAAUAUAUCGAAGUGGUUGAAAACAAAUAGCAUCCAUACAUCCCUUAAAAGGUGGAAAGGUUGUGGAACAAAAUGGCACCUAUGUAAUUCAAUAAAUAUGUAUUAAAAUUCAAACGUGUUUUUUUUUUUAAUGUUUCUUAGAAAUUGUCACGAACUUUCUGAACAACCUAAUACAAUAUUUAGAUCCGAUUAAUUCUACAGAAUCCCGCGUAGAAUCUAAAAGUUACGCGCUAUAAAAACAGAAAAGAUAAGAAUGCACCAGCUACGUAACACAAUGCAUUUUCUAUCCGAAGACAAUACAUCGCCAGUUCGCGUUCAAAGUCGGAAAUAACGAGUCGCAUGGUAGGAGCAUUGCGCGUCACUCUUCCGAGAAGAAUGAUAAAGAACGAUUAGAGGCGAGAAAUCCUUAAGUGAUCAAGAUACGGUAAAACCGUAGUUAACGACGUAAAAGGAUGCAACGAUGUCGCGUCCACGAGAGUUUACGUUAUCUAUUUUAACUUGCCUCGUCACUCGUGCAAUUUAAACAAUCAUUUUCAGACGUAACAACGUUGCGCGAAUCGUUCUUUGAAAAAUAUGCGAGAUAGCGGAUCCUCUCGAUGGAGAAGUGCCUUUCUACGAACAAGGAUCACGUUGAUUACAAGCGCGUACAAAGUAAUCAAUCGGUGUAACUAGAUUUAUACUGAAAUUAUUCCAGAAAGUGCGGUAAGAGAAUUAUUAAAUAAAAUAUUUCGCUCGAUGAGAGGUUCGAGGGAAGAGGCGACUAUGGUUACCAUGCGAAGGCUACAUGGCUACAGGAAUGAGGGGGCAGCAGGUACCACACACCACACCGCGUGGAACAGUGCAUAAUCGUCGAGUUCCUUGCAAACGAUGGGUUGCAGCCGUUUUAAACGCGUUUCAAAGACAGUCUUGCGUAAUUAGUUUUGAGAAAAGUUGGUAUAAAGUAACUGGUACGAACCACUCGACUGUUACACGUAGAAAUUAAUUCUGUGCCUUUAUGGUUUAAGCAGAAAUACUUUCAAGUCGUUUUGUUAUGUUAGAGUACCAACCUUAAGCUAAUCUACAUUACAAUGAACUUAAAUAAUAACCUAUGCGAGUCUUAACUUAAUAACCAUUACAGUGCAAGACGAUCCUCGUAUCUAUACAUAUGUACGACGUGUAAUAGUCAUCAAAUUUCACCUUUUGUUAUUCUUCUAAUGGACUGUAAGUGUAAUGGACUGUAAAAGUCUGAACCUGAUGGGUAUUAGACGCAAUAUAUUAUUGGGUUGUCCGGAAAGUUCGUGCCUAUUUUUAAGAAAAAUUCAAAGGCAUAUUUGAAUUUUGAUUUAUGUUUAUUGAAUUAUAUAUGUACCAUUUUCUUCUACAUCCUUUCCACCUGUUAAGGAAUGUACACAUAUUAUUUGUUUUCAGCCAUUCCGAUAUAUUUAGACCUGUACCGCCUACUAAAAAUCGGCAUGGACUUUCCAGACAGCCCAAUAUUUGUUUAUUCUUCCUCUUCUACAGUUAUUGUAACUACUCGUCGUACUUGUAAUCUGUCGAGCAAACUUCGUUGGCUAAUGAACUUCGAACGUCUAGAUAAAUUGUAAUGGCCACCAGGUCGAGACAUAGGUUAUCUACUGUACCUAUAUAGAGGCGGAUCCGUGGAAAUUAAGUCGCGAACUCGGAAGAUUUGCAUUAUUUUAUCUCGCGAGAAAGAAGCGACUCCUCGAUUUAGCCAAGCAUUGUUGGUAAAAUUGUUAAACGAAGGCGUGGAAAAAGCAUGGCGUGGAAGUAAAUUAUCUGAAAAAACUGAAUUCAACGCAUUCUAUCGUACAAUCUACCGUCACCCGGAGAGAAUGACAAAGAGCUGCAAAUAUAGCCACCUUUAGUUACGCGGAGGGAAUUUCUCUUCCAUCAAGACGAGUCGAGACAGCGGUGCGCCAAAGAAACAUCCCGAGAUGCGGCGGGACUGCAAUUUGGAAAUCAUGCAUCGCUGCCCUGUUAAAUUUGCAAUUUUUUUUUUAACGCUUUUUUAUUUUAACGCAAACUUACAAGGACGGAUGGAAGCGCGAGGUGCGAUGGCGACGACAAUGAAAACGCACUUAAAGCACGUUUAAUUGGAUGAUACACAUUUGUUAAAAUAUUCUCUUUGUAUAGUUGAAAGCACAGAAUGAAUUCCCAAGGAAGCACGACCUACGAAAUUAAUUUAAUAGGCACGAGGAAUUCCGUCCUGCAUAGAAAUGAUGAGAACCGUGUAUAUUGUGCAUGUGAACCGCCUAUGGAAGAAAAAAAGGAAAGAAAAGGAUACGGAGGAAGAGAG